AACGAACGCUGGCGGCAUGCCUAACACAUGCGAGUCGAACGAUGCCUUCGGGCAUAGUGGCGCACGGGUGCGUAACGCGUGGGAAUCUGCCUUUCGGUUCGGAAUAACUCAGGGAAACUUGAGCUAAUACCGGAUAACGUCGCAAGACCAAAGAUUUAUCACCGAAAGAUGAGCCCGCGUAGGAUUAGCUAGUUGGUGAGGUAAGGGCUCACCAAGGCGACGAUCCUUAGCUGGUCUGAGAGGAUGAUCAGCCACACUGGGACUGAGACACGGCCCAGACUCCUACGGGAGGCAGCAGUGGGGAAUAUUGGACAAUGGGCGAAAGCCUGAUCCAGCAAUGCCGCGUGAGUGAUGAAGGCCUUAGGGUUGUAAAGCUCUUUUACCCGGGAAGAUAAUGACGGUACCGGGAGAAUAAGCCCCGGCUAACUCCGUG
RNAcentral lists this ribosomal RNA (433 nucleotides) under uncultured bacterium. RNAcentral describes it as "partial 16S ribosomal RNA". It matches the Rfam family "Bacterial small subunit ribosomal RNA", at positions 29 to 507 of the family's 1533-position model. The record is from RNAcentral.